Molecule: ribosomal RNA, 384 nt
Filed under: uncultured microorganism
Description: partial 16S ribosomal RNA
Source: RNAcentral
GAGUUUGAUCGUGGCUCAGGGUGGUAGGAACAUUGAGGCUGGGGCCGCCUGAGGCUUUGGCAUGAGGCUGGGGGGCUGAGGAGAGAUGUGAAACAGUUACACCGGGGGUGAAGGUGUCAGAGAGGCCUCUCAGUUUCAGCUUGAGUCGGCAGGCAGGCCAUGGUGGUGGCUGGUGGGGAAGUCACCACUGCCCCAGGCCAGAGAGGAUUGCCUCUGAGCCAGGGAUGUCCAGGGCUGCCUCUGAGAGAGGUACAGGUGGGAGUGGACACGGGCAGGUCAACCACUGUCCCUGCCCCAUGACCCCGACACAGGUCAGAUGACCCAGAUGUGGGGGGCCAGGGCAGGAGCAGUUGAGGGGCCAGGCUAUCAGCUGAGUCGAAAGUU